GAUGAACGCUGGCGGCGUGCUUAACACAUGCAAGUCGAACGAACCUUCGGGUUAGUGGCGGACGGGUGAGUAACGCGUGAGAAUCUGCCCUCAGGAGGGGGAUAACGGCUGGAAACGGCCGCUAAUACCCCAUAUGCCGAGAGGUGAAAUGAAUUUCGCCUGAGGAUGAGCUCGCGUCUGAUUAGCUUGUUGGUGGGGUAAUGGCCUACCAAGGCGACGAUCAGUAGCUGGUCUGAGAGGAUGAUCAGCCACACUGGGACUGAGACACGGCCCAGACUCCUACGGGAGGCAGCAGUGGGGAAUUUUCCGCAAUGGGCGAAAGCCUGACGGAGCAACGCCGCGUGAGGGAUGAAGGCCUCUGGGCUGUAAACCUCUUUUUAUCAAGGAAGAAGAUCUGACGGUACUUGAUGAAUAAGCCACGGCUAAUUCCGUG
RNAcentral lists this ribosomal RNA (433 nucleotides) under uncultured bacterium. RNAcentral describes it as "bacterial SSU rRNA". It matches the Rfam family "Bacterial small subunit ribosomal RNA", at positions 28 to 507 of the family's 1533-position model. The record is from RNAcentral.